Molecule: long non-coding RNA, 2589 nt
Organism: Ahaetulla prasina
Lineage: Eukaryota; Metazoa; Chordata; Lepidosauria; Squamata; Colubridae
Exons: 3
Source: RefSeq, a predicted model, not a curated record
AUGAAAUAUCUACAAGAAAACAACCAAGCUCCGACAGUACCAAGGAUCCCUUAUGUCAACUCUGAGUUACAAUUAUAUUCUCCUUUAUUGGAACUUUUUAAUGUUAUGCCAGUUUAGUGAUUUCUAAAGAGCCAAGACUGUUUCUUCCUAACACUCAGUGUCCACUCACCCCACCAAAGACCUCACAUGAUUUUAAAAGCUCUUUGGAUUACAUUUUAAGGAUGAUUGGUGGACACAGGCCACCGGUUACGUGAUGCAGUAGCAGGCGCCUUUCUCAGCUUCGGGAAGUUCAGAGCGCUACUUCAAAACAUCAAUUCCUGCUUUCGUAAUGCUGUAAAUUGUUUUUAAAAAUGACACAUUAUUGCAAGAUGCUUGGCUGUUUUUCAUUUAUGCUCUAAGGUUUCCCUGAUCGGAAGCCUGGCUUUCUAAUAUCAGCAGGAAAGAAACAUCCCACAGAUGACUUCUCGCUCCCAAUUACAUGAAGAUCUCAGCUUCAUCUACAUCUCUCUACAGUUUUAUAAUAUUCAUAUGUACUCCAGUUCAACCAGAUGUUUGCAGGAAUUAGAUAUUGAUAUAUGUACACCAAGCAGUAGUACUGGCGUAAUCGGGAGAGAGGAACAGAAAAAGCGACAGUAGCAGAUAAAGGCAAAUACAGAAAAGAAGGCAUGAAAAUCAGAAGAGGUAAGUGGAAGAGGUAAGUAGGUCAUUGGAUAUCCCACACUUGAAGUCAACUUAGAUCCUAUCAAUGACAAAAUCCUGAACUUUAAGUGUAUUAGCCUUGUUAUACCAUUUAGAAAGACCCCUCAGAUUUUGUUACAGCACAAUUUCCAAAAUACAACAAAUUUGCUUUAAGUCUGAAAUAAAAAACAUCUUCUGUUUUAUGCAAAAUCCUAGUAUUAUCCAGUUGUGAAAUGAAUGAUAUAAUAAUGGGCUAAAGUAAUAAACAUUCUAAUAGUCUAGAAAAGGGAUUUUAUCACAGGAUUAUUCUGACUACUGGUGGAAACCUGCCACAACCUGCUCCUCCACCACCAUGGGAGGGUGGAUUGGGGUUGGGCAGGCAGUUAUUUUGUGCAGAACGUGCAGAUUGUAAAUGGCAUUUUCAUAACAUGCCCUUAGCAAACAUCAUAUGAACAGGUUCUCAAGUACCCAGAUUAUGUAAAUGUUGGGGUGUGCAGUGUUUUGAGAUGAUCAGAAGUGUUUACAGGUUGUAAAACAUUCGUCCCAGGCCAUUAUUUUUGAACCAUCCUUUAUUACCUUUAAAGCCCUGCAUGGCAUGGAUCCAGAUUACUUGAGGAACCAUCUCAACCCACUGGGACUGACUCUUCCCACCUAUGCUGGCAAAGGAGGCAUGCUGUGGGCCCCUUCAGUCAAGGAAAUCUGGCUGGCAGGGUCCAGAAGGACCUUCUCUGCCAUGGCACCGGCUCUUUGAAAUAUAUCCUGUGGGAAAAUUUUGCUCCCACCCUGUCCUUCUGCAGGAGCCUGAAGACAUGGCUCUGCCAGGUGGCUUGGGGCUCUAACAGAGAGGUAUCACACUGGAGGUGGUUGAUGAAUAAAAAGGCAAUCCACCCUUCCAUCAGAACGGCCUUCCCUUCUCUCCCCAUUUUCUUCUAUAAUUCUAUUUUUCACUGUAAUUUCCAUUUUUAUUGUUUUAGAAAUAUUUCUUUUAUUAUUUUUAUGCUUCUAAUGCUGCAAGCCACCCAGAGCUGCUCCAAAACGAGAUGGAUGACAAAUAAAUGUAAUAAAUAAUAAAUUAUAUUAAAUUUUAAAAAGUCAAGGAUUAUCUGUACUAAGAUUCUGAAAAUACAGGCGUAUGAAGUAAGCCUAUCUGUGGAUAAGCUGAUCGUCAAAAUUUUUGAAUGUUUUAUUUUUCAUAAUUAUUUAUCCAUUGGUUUAUUUUUCAUUAGGAUUAAAGGUCAGCUUAUCUGCAUAUGGAUUUAUCCAUAUAUUUAUCCACUGGAUAUAUGGGCAUUUCAAAAACGUAUUACUGUGUAUAAUAACAGAUAAAUCUGUCAGUGGAUAAGCCAAAUCCAAUUUUGGGGAGGAAUUCUGACACUUAAAAUUUUUGACUUAUUUAUGGGUAUAUAUGGCAACGUCACUAUACAUAUAAAUACAGAUUACCAAAAACAGGAGAGCUAAGACAGGACAAUCAAAUAUAUUUAAUAACAGAUUAUCAUUUAAAUCUCCUAAGGGUCUAUGAAGUUACAAAUAAUCUUGACAAGAUAAAAAAAAGUCUGGCUAUUUUAUAAUCUAGGAACUCAGAACCAAAGAUAAAAGUGAGCUUUUGGGGACAAAAUUUGGAAGUCACUAUAGGAAAAAGUUAUUCUGCUGGUGAAUGUUGAAACAGACCAAUAGUACUGUAAGGUAUUGAACAUGCUACCUCACUACCCAUAUCUAGUAGGUCUGAGAUGAUUUUAAAGCUCACCACCCAAGCUAUCCAAUAGCUGUGAACAUUCUAUCCUGGAAAUUUUAACCAUCAAUUAUACAUAUAUUUUCCUUAAAAUUUACUGCAGAAAAACAGUUCUUAAGUUCUUCAAGCAAAAAGCUAGAGCAAGUUUUUAUACAAAGCUAUGAAGAAGUUUAAUUUUAAAU